CCUACGGGAGGCAGCAGUGGGGAAUAUUGGGCAAUGGGCGCAAGCCUGACCCAGCAACGCCGCGUGAAGGAAGAAGGCUUUCGGGUUGUAAACUUCUUUUAAGAGGGAAGAGCAGAAGACGGUACCUCUUGAAUAAGCCACGGCUAACUACGUGCCAGCAGCCGCGGUAAUACGUAGGUGGCAAGCGUUGUCCGGAUUUACUGGGUGUAAAGGGCGUGCAGCCGGGAAGACAAGUCAGAUGUGAAAUCCCGCGGCUCAACCGCGGAACUGCAUUUGAAACUGUUGGACUAGAGACGGCGAGAAGUACGCGGAAUGCGCGGUGUAGCGGUGAAAUGCAUAGAUAUCGCGCAGAACUCCGAUUGCGAAGGCAGCGUACCGGCGCCGGACUGACGCUGAGGCACGAAAGCGUGGGUAUCGAACAGGAUUAGAUACCUGGGUAGUC
This 442-nucleotide ribosomal RNA is filed under the name uncultured bacterium. Its description in RNAcentral is "partial 16S ribosomal RNA". It matches the Rfam family "Bacterial small subunit ribosomal RNA", at positions 338 to 795 of the family's 1533-position model. The record is from RNAcentral.